UAGGAGAUUGAAGAGAUUAAUCUCUCUUUUGUCUAUUCGAUGGGUUCUCUUAUAACAUAUAGGGAUGUCAUUGUGAUCCGAUUUCAUGAAGAAGAAAAGCAAACUAAUUUUUAUAAAUUAUUUUGAUCAUAAAUAUAUUUAGAUUAGAUUUAUAAUAAUUAUAAUUUAUUAUAAUAAGAUAAAACUUAGAUAUAAAAUUAUU
This 202-nucleotide long non-coding RNA is filed under the name Elaeis guineensis (African oil palm). Its description in RNAcentral is "long non-coding RNA (EGUI_LNC057066)". Lineage: Eukaryota; Viridiplantae; Streptophyta; Magnoliopsida; Arecales; Arecaceae. The record is from RNAcentral.